GAUAACAUAGCAUUGUAGACUUCAGGGUCACGUAAAACAUCCUUUCAAAUGUAGCAGGCAUGGCUGACCUUAUGCAAACUUGUCACCAAGAUUCAUACGUAUUCCACGGUGAAACCUGGGAGCAAUGCAAGAUACGGCUGCCGAGUGUCAAAUGGCACUGUUGACAAUUUUUUGUCUUCAGGCUCUUUACCAAUGUUGUACUCGACCUUCGCUUCUUUUCCGUCCUGUAGGUAUUGUAGGUUGUCGGGGCCAAGUGACUCACCUCGGUGGCAACCUUGGUGUAAUUUUUGCCCUCUGCAAUAAGUGGCAUACGAGUUGAAUACAGAAAUUCCUAGAGCACAGCAGCAGGACUAAAGUAUAUCACGCUCUGGCCUUGAAACUUGUUCUAGGUGGCAUUGCACUUGCACUAUUCCAAUGAGACAAAAUGUCUACUAGUUUGGGCCAUUGGGUAUCCCGCUGUAGAUAUUUAAAUAGAUGUAUAUUGGGAUGUGGAUUGCACCUGGUAGCAUUUUGUCGAGCCCUGUUCAAUUUAAAGGGACUGACAAACAAUAUUUAAAAGGACCUAAUUUUUUUUUAUGGCUAUGCAAAGUUCACCCUUGGUAGUAUUUAUAGAUGCAGUGGUUAUUUCUAAGAGCACAUGGAUAUUUUGUAAUCAUAACUUUUGAUUUGAGCAGCUUCUGAAAGAGUCCCUCCUCCAGCAAUGCCGAUCACUAACCUUGGCAAUUGUGAAAGCCGCCCAUCAUUCUACUUUCACAAGAGGAAGUGUGACUGUGGUUAACCACCUACAUUUUGAGCUUUAAGCCAUUUUUGAAAAUAAAAAGCUGGUACAAUAAGUUUGCAUUGUUGUACAGAUGUUAUAUUUGUAGGUUUUUCCACUAAGUGCAUGCCUACGUCAUGGCUGGCUGGCCCUCGUCAUUGUUAUGCUGUCGAUAAACAAGCCAAGCCAACUCAUCAAAGGCAGCGCCACUUUUGUACUCACUACAAACAAAGGCCUAUCUGCACAUUGCAAGUUAUAAAAUGCUUAUAACAGAAAAAUUUGUACUGCAUUUCAAUACCAAUGAAAAGACCAGGAAGCACAUACACUAAUAGCAGGUCACAUUAUAGGCCUCUUGUUUUUGCCACAUAGGGUGCCACAGGUUACCUUCAAUAUUUUUGGCGAAUCAAAAGUAUAAAUCCACAUUUAAUGAGAACAUGGCCGAUUUGAACCAGUGCAAUAGGCAAGCUUUCCAUCAGCAGGGUUAUCUCAAUUCAUGUUCUAAAUGGUUGUCUGUCCCUUUAAAUCUUUCAUUAUCAGGUACAAGGAGAGCUGCAAACUGUCAUCAGUAGCUGUCGCACCAAAUCCCGUUUCUCAAUUACAACUGGGUUUUGAAGACUUGUAAUACAUCAACUUACCAGGAAUACCAGGAUCUUUAAUAACCUUGCAGCCAAAGCCCCCACCCCCUUUUCUUAGGAUCUGAUGUCUGCAAGCUCAAGACAUUUAAAUAAGCUGAUUAAAACUACCUGCAAUGAACAUGCA
Non-coding RNA from Dermacentor andersoni, 1516 nucleotides. Lineage: Eukaryota; Metazoa; Arthropoda; Arachnida; Ixodida; Ixodidae. The record is from RefSeq and is a predicted model, not a curated record.